This is an unclassified non-coding RNA of Stylophora pistillata, 1041 nucleotides long. The record is from RefSeq and is a predicted model, not a curated record. NCBI's taxonomy places the organism in Eukaryota, Metazoa, Cnidaria, Anthozoa, Scleractinia, Pocilloporidae.
UGUGAUGUUAGCAUGUGCUUAGGUUUUAGCUGGAAUAUCGAAAGAUGCAAACCCAUUUCUCACUUGACUUAAACUCAACAGACACUUCUGAGCACAUUGAGUUUCAUUAUCAAACCUAAUCCAUCCACUUUUAUUAUAAGACCUUUAUCGCGAUUUGUUUUUCGUAAACGUACUGCGUACUUCAUGUCGGUGAAAAAAAAGCCUAGACACUUUCUUUUUUUACAAAUGUGUUGAAAGGCACAGAAAUGUGGGUCACGCGAACCUACUUCAUGUUGUGCUUUAAAAAAAAUAAAAGACUAACUUAAAACAGGAUACGCAAUAUGUUUUAACACUUCUAACGAAGCUGAAAACAUGGUACUUCCAAUUCCAUCUGAUAAAGCAAGGCACUUGAGUUCACUGCUAAAUUUUCUUGUUUGAACGCCCAAAGUCUCGACUAUGAUACUGGGACACAUGGCUAGAUCAUUCCAGAGUGUUCUUGGACUACAUAAAUGAAGGCUCGAUAAAUUUUUACUGAGUACACAAAGUCAAAGCAGGGUGUUAUCAGGGAAUGAGUCAGGGAAAGCUUCUCGUCGGCAAACAAAGAUAACCAAACGCUACAAGAACAAUCUGUAAUGAUAACAUGUGCUCUCAGUUUAUCGAUGAAGCCCUGCAAACAUCAGUUCGAUGUAUACGAGGAACCUCCCUGGCAGAUAGUUCAGGCAACGGGGAAGAAUCUAGUUCAUCAGGGGCCGCUGACAAACCUCAUCAUACAGCCCUUGACAAAAAUAUUCACAAAGUGGGUUGUUGCUUUUGGACUCACGGACCUCCUCCUGGCAAGAAGACAACUAUUCCUAGAGGCCUUGGAGCACGCUUUUUUCUCCGGGGUAGAAAGAUCAUUAAUCGAGAGCACCGCUGACAUGAUGUUCUUAAAUUUCAAAAACUCGAUGAAAACUAACCACUCGUCAACAGUGCAAAUAGGAAAGACAAAAAUAUGAUGUCGCGGACAGUCUUGAGAAUGAGAAAUUAUUGUAAUACAGAGGGUAAAUAAACAUAAAGCCUGGA